GGACUACCGGGGUUUCUAAUCCUGUUUGCUCCCCAUGCUUUCGCACCUCAGCGUCAGUAUUAGGCCAGAAGGCUGCCUUCGCCAUCGGUAUUCCUCCAGAUCUCUACGCAUUUCACCGCUACACCUGGAAUUCUACCUUCCUCUCCCAUACUCUAGCUCGCCAGUAUCGAAUGCAAUUCCCAAGUUGAGCUCGGGGAUUUCACAUUUGACUUAACGAACCGCCUACGCGCGCUUUACGCCCAGUAAUUCCGAUUAACGCUCGCACCCUCUGUAUUACCGCGGCUGCUGGCAC
This 292-nucleotide ribosomal RNA is filed under the name uncultured bacterium. RNAcentral's name for it is "partial 16S ribosomal RNA". The record is from RNAcentral.